UUUUUAGGUCUGGUAAUUGGAAUGAGUACAAUUUAAAUCCCUUAACGAGUAUCCAUUGGAGGGCAAGUCUGGUGCCAGCAGCCGCGGUAAUUCCAGCUCCAAUAGCGUAUAUUAAAGUUGCUGCAGUUAAAAAGCUCGUAGUUGGAUUUCUGGCUUGAAACAUUUGGCCGGCCACGGUUUCGUGUGUUAGUGCUUUGUGUUCUGGCCAUCCUUCCAAUCGCAAUUGGCUAUUCUUCAUUGAUUGGUCAGUUGUAUUGGAUCUUUUACUUUGAAAAAAUUAGAGUGUUUCAAGCAGGCUUUAUGCUAUGAAUACAUUAGCAUGGAAUAAUAAUUUAGGACUUCGGUUCUAUUUUGUUGGUUUCUAGGACUGAAGUAAUGAUUGAUAGGGAUAGUUGGGGGUGCUAGUAUUCAGCGGCCAGAGGUGAAAUUCUCGGAUUCGCUGAAGACUAACUUAUGCGAAAGCAUUCACCAAGGAUGUCUUCUUUAAUCAAGAACGAAAGUUGGGGGAUCGAAGACGAUCAGAUACCGUCGUAGUCUCAACCAUAAACUAUGCCGACUAGGGAUGAGUGAACGUUGCAUUUUCGACUUCAUUCGCACCUUAUGAGAAAUCAAAGUCUUUGGGUUCCGGGGGGAGUAUGGUCGCAAGGCUGAAACU
This 655-nucleotide ribosomal RNA is filed under the name uncultured Glissomonadida. RNAcentral's name for it is "SSU rRNA". It matches the Rfam family "Eukaryotic small subunit ribosomal RNA", at positions 493 to 1144 of the family's 1831-position model. The record is from RNAcentral. Lineage: Eukaryota; Cercozoa; Glissomonadida.